RNAcentral lists this ribosomal RNA (484 nucleotides) under uncultured bacterium. RNAcentral describes it as "partial 16S ribosomal RNA". It matches the Rfam family "Bacterial small subunit ribosomal RNA", at positions 30 to 507 of the family's 1533-position model. The record is from RNAcentral.
AUUGAACGCUGGCGGUAGGCCUAACACAUGCAAGUCGAGCGGAUGCAGAGAGCUUGCUCCUGGUUUCAGCUGCGGACGGGCGGGUGAUGGCUAGGAAUAUCGCUGGCUGCGUUGUAUAACGUCCUGACGCGGGCACUCAUACGCCAUUCCUCCUGACGACGAACGUGUGAAAUCAUCGGAUCUUCCGCUAUCAGAUGAUCCGAGGUCGGAUUAGCUAGUUGGUGGGGUAAAGGCCUACCAAGGCGACGAUCCGUAACUGGUCUGAGAGGAUGAUCAGUCACACUGGAACUGAGACACGGUCCAGACUCCUACGGGAGGCAGCAGUGGGGAAUAUUGGACAAUGGGCGAAAGCCUGAUCCAGCCAUGCCGCGUGUGUGAAGAAGGUCUUCGGAUUGUAAAGCCCUUUUGGUUGGGAGGAAGAGCAGUAAGUUAAUACCUUGCUGUUUUGACGUUACCAACAGAAUAAGCACCGGCUAACUUCGUG